Scophthalmus maximus (turbot) is the source of this 1712-nucleotide non-coding RNA. The record is from Ensembl. Lineage: Eukaryota; Metazoa; Chordata; Actinopteri; Pleuronectiformes; Scophthalmidae.
GCCCAUCAGCUAGCCCCACCCUUAUAAUUAACAAAUCACUUUUAUUAACCCUUAACCCACCCCCCCCCACCACUUAAUUAAACCAUUCUACCCCCUUAGUAUAGGCGACAGAAAAGGAAAUUGUGGAGCUAUAGUUCAAGUACCGCAAGGGAAAGCUGAAAGAGAGGUGAAACAGUCCAGUAAAGCUCAAAAAAGCAGAGAUUUAACCUCGUACCUUUUGCAUCAUGAUUUAGCUAGCAUCUUCAGGCAAGGAGCGCUUUAGUCUGAGACCCCGAAACUAAGUGAGCUACUCCAAGACAGCCUAUAAAUUAGGGCAAACCCGUCUCUGUGGCAAAAGAGUGGGAAGAGCUUCGAGUAGAGGUGAUAAACCUACCGAACUUAGUUAUAGCUGGUUGCCUGGGAAAUGGAUAGGAGUUCAGCCUCCCGGAUUCUCAUUUCACCUUUUGUUUACAUACCUUCGGAAGCCUAGAGAAACCAAGAGAGUUAUUCAAAGGGGGUACAGCCCCUUUGAAACAGGACACAACCUUUGAAGCUGGGUAAAGAUCAUAUUAUUUAAGGAGAAAACUGUGUUAGUUGGCCUAAAAGCAGCCACCUCAAAAGAAAGCGUUAAAGCUUAUACGUGUAUUUUGCCCUACGAUUCUGAUCAUUUAAUCUCACCCCCCUUUGAUUUACCAAGCCACCCUAUGCUAACAUAGAGGAGACCAUGCUAAUAUGAGUAAUAAGAGAACCCCUGUUUCUCUCUCUAGCACACGCAUAACUCGGAACGGACCCCCCACCGAAUAUUAACGGCCCCAAAUAAAGAGGGUACUGAAGAAGGACCUGAAGACCAGAAAACCUUUCAAUAAACUACCGUUAACCCUACACUGGUGUGCCCCCUGAGAAAGACUAAUAGAAAGAGAAGGAACUCGGCAAAAAUACCUUACAAGCCUCGCCUGUUUACCAAAAACAUCGCCUCUUGCAAAACUGAAGUAUAAGAGGUCCCGCCUGCCCAGUGACACCCAGUUCAACGGCCGCGGUAUUUUGACCGUGCAAAGGUAGCGUAAUCACUUGUCUCUUAAAUGGAGACCUGUAUGAAUGGCAUAACGAGGGCUUAACUGUCUCCUCUCUCAAGUCAAUGAAGUUGAUCUCCCCGUGCAGAAGCGGGGAUAUUCACAUAAGACGAGAAGACCCUAUGGAGCUUGAGACGAUAGGGCAGCCCAUGUUAAGUACCCCCCCCCUCACCGGACCAAACUAAAUGACCCCUGCUCUAAUGUCUUCGGUUGGGGCGACCCUGGGGAAUACAAAACCCCCAUGUGGAAUAGGAGCACCCCCCCCCUUAACUCCUCCAAAUGAGAGCCACACCUCCAAUUAACAGAACUUUUGACCAAAAAUGAUCCGGCAAAGCCGAUCAACGGACCAAGUUACCCUAGGGAUAACAGCGCAAUCCCCUUUUAGAGCCCUUAUCGACAAGGGGGUUUACGACCUCGAUGUUGGAUCAGGACAUCCUAAUGGUGCAGCCGCUAUUAAGGGUUCGUUUGUUCAACGAUUAAAGUCCUACGUGAUCUGAGUUCAGACCGGAGCAAUCCAGGUCAGUUUCUAUCUAUGAAAUGACCUUUUCUAGUACGAAAGGACCGAAAAGGCGAAGCCCCUGCUACAGGCACGCCUCACCCUUACCUGAUGAAAACAUCUAAAACAGGCAAGAGAACAUACCCUCCAACCAUAGAGAAUGGUAA